Molecule: long non-coding RNA, 273 nt
Filed under: Elaeis guineensis (African oil palm)
Lineage: Eukaryota; Viridiplantae; Streptophyta; Magnoliopsida; Arecales; Arecaceae
Description: long non-coding RNA (EGUI_LNC006393)
Source: RNAcentral
CCCCUACCUAGCACGUCAAACUGUUGCAGCUCAUCUCUGAUGGAGUAGUCAGAUCGUCUCAUCUGAGUAUCGAAUGGUAAGAAGCUGGUGGAGAAGGACCGCUCAUCGGAGAGAGAGAUCACAGUCGAGAGGGUUGAGAACGAGAGUGAGGACUCACAAUGUAUUGAAUAGAGGAAGGAUCAACUUAGGCUGGACGAAAAGGUUGAUCGAUGGCAUCCAGUGGCAGUCGAAAAACCUGCAAGAAAUACCUGCGCCAGAGAUGGCUUCAAUGAC